RNAcentral lists this ribosomal RNA (497 nucleotides) under uncultured bacterium. RNAcentral's name for it is "partial 16S ribosomal RNA". It matches the Rfam family "Bacterial small subunit ribosomal RNA", at positions 28 to 507 of the family's 1533-position model. The record is from RNAcentral.
GAUGAACGCUGGCGGCGUGCCUAAUACAUGCAAGUCGAGCGAACGGACGCGACGCUUGCUUCUCUGAUGUUAGCGGCGGACGUGUGAGUAACACGUGGAUAACCUACCUAUAAGACUGGGAUAACUUCGGGAAACCGUAGCUAAUCCCGUAUAAUAUUUUGAACCGCAUGGUUCAAAAGUGAAAGACGGUCUUUCUGUCACUUAUCGAUGGAUCCGCGCUGCAUUAGCUAGGUGGUAAGGUAACGGCUUACCAAGGCAACGAUGCAUAGCCGACCUGAGAGGGGGGUAGGCGACACGAGAAGGGAGACACGGUCCAGAGUCCUACGGGAGGCAGCAGUAGGGAAUCGGACGCAAUGGGGGAAAGCCUGACGGAGCAACGCCGAGUGAGUGAUGAAGGUGUUAGGAGCGUAAAACUGUGUUAUUAGGGAAGAACAGAUGUGGAAGUAACUGUGCAGAGCUUGACGGUACCUAAUCAGAAAGCAACGGCUAACUACGUG